This 314-nucleotide ribosomal RNA is filed under the name uncultured bacterium. RNAcentral's name for it is "partial 16S ribosomal RNA". It matches the Rfam family "Bacterial small subunit ribosomal RNA", at positions 495 to 807 of the family's 1533-position model. The record is from RNAcentral.
GUAUAAGAGACAGCAGCAGCCGCGGGAAUACAGAGGGUGCGAGCGUUAAUCGGAAUUACUGGGCGUAAAGCGCGCGUAGACGGUUUUGUAAGUCAGAUGUGAAAUCCCUGGGCUCAACCUGGGAACUGCAUUUGAAACUGCAUGGCUAGAGUAUCGAAGAGGGAAGUGGAAUUUCCGGUGUAGCGGUGAAAUGCGUAGAUAUCGGAAGGAACACCAGUGGCGAAAGCGACUUCCUGGUCGAAUACUGACGUUCAUGUGCGAAAGCGUGGGGAGCAAACAGGAUUAGAUACCCCUGUAGUCCCUGUCUCUUAUAC